UCUUACAUCCCUCGAGACGCUAUUUAUCGAGGAUUGCCAAAAUAUCAAAUGCUUCCCCAAAGGAGGUUUGCCUCCCAAUUUGCAUCGCCUUUUAAUAAGAGGGUGCGAGAAUCUAAAGCAGCCAAUGAGAGAAUGGGGCUUACACCUACUCACAUCCCUCUGGUGUAUGUUAAUUGACUUUUGCAUGGGAGGGGAGGGAGAGAAGGUAUGGUUUCCUUCGGAGGACAGGGAUGCAUGGAGUCUUCUCUUUCCUUCCUCUCUAUUGUAUCUUCACAUUUGCAAUAUGUGGAAUGUUGAAAGACUAUCAAGCAGUCUUCUCAACCAUCUAUCCUCUCUCAAACAUUUAUGGAUCGACUCUUGCCCAAAGCUGAGGUACUUGCUAGAGGAUGGCCUCCCUCCCUCCCUCCAAGAAUUGUACAUAGAGAAAUGUGAGAUUCUGAAAGAUAGAUGCUCAAAACUCACUGGUGACUAUUGGCCCCUCAUCCAAGAAAUCCCUCUCAUCGAGAUAGAUUGGGUGUGGAUCCAAUGAAUUGAUUCUUCCAUGCACCGCCAGUUUUCUCGGAUUAAGGGCAACACACUGCAAAAUUGUUUUUCUUAUCUGUAUUACUGAUGGUCUCAGGAUCUGGUGAUUUAUGGUUAAAAGUUGCUGCAUUCGGAGCUUUCUAGUUACGCCAGGAUUUUGGAUAAGAAAUAUGAAAAAUGUGGAAGAACCAUCAAUAGCGGAGGACAUAAGAUGCGUGGAGCCUCCUAUUUCCUUCCUCUCUAACCUCUCCUUGGAUGAAAAAUAUGAGGAACGUGAAGAGACUAUCAAGUGGGCUUCGCAGGCAUCUCUCCUCCCUCAAACGGUCAUAUAUUUUAUAGUUGCUGGAUGUUGAGGUACUUGACAGAGGACAGCUUCCAUCCCUCCCUCCAUGUAUUCCGCAUAAUUCAAUGAGAGAUUCUGAAAGAUCGGUGCUCAAAACUCUGCGGCGACUGUUGGCACCUCAUCCAAGAAAUCCCACUCAUCGUAAUUGAUUGAGUUCGGAUUCAAUAAGAAGAUGUCUCUCCAAUGUCUAAUCUUUGUUCUCAAAACAAAUAAUACGUACAUGGACUUGCUUUCAGUGCAGGAAUUGUGAUGCAUGGAUGUGCCUAUCUUUAUUGAUGAUAUAUCUUGAACUUUGUUUCAUGCCCAAAAAUUGCUUAUCUUUCCACUUAUGGAAAUGCACUAUGCUUUGCGUGAGAAUCAUGAAUUGUUGCUCUUGUAUUGAUAUUUUUCUGCAAUAUUGGCGUUUGUUGUAUUUUCUCUUCCAAAUAUCUUUUUCUUAGGCCCUAGCUCAUUGACCUGAUGUCUCUCAACUAUGCUUGCUUUGUAGAAUAUCCCACCGUCUUCUGCAUUUGGCAAAAUCUCUCCCGGUGAUCAAAUGCAAACAUUGUUGAGAUUUAUCUGUAUCACGAUGUCAAUUAUCGAGGUCUACAUUCAAAGUCAAACGAAGCAGCUUUCGUACCUCCAACAACAGCAGCGACUGAAGAGAUGCAGAAAUUGGGGUUUUCGAGUUGGCAGAUUACAAUCCAUUUCAAUCUGAUUUCCUUGUUGAAGUUAACAGUUCAUCUUUAUUCUAUUUAACUUCCCACGCCAUCUCAGAGAACAUUUUCUUUUUCUUUGUCGCAAAGGAAAGACCGAGAGGAGCAAUCAAGGAGACUAUGCUCUGUUACCAUUUUGAGUAAUUGUAAAAGUUUCACGUC
This is a long non-coding RNA of Eucalyptus grandis, 1722 nucleotides long. RefSeq lists it as uncharacterized. The transcript has 4 exons. The record is from RefSeq and is a predicted model, not a curated record. NCBI's taxonomy places the organism in Eukaryota, Viridiplantae, Streptophyta, Magnoliopsida, Myrtales, Myrtaceae.